Molecule: ribosomal RNA, 520 nt
Filed under: uncultured Glomus
Lineage: Eukaryota; Fungi; Glomeromycota; Glomeromycetes; Glomerales; Glomeraceae
Description: SSU rRNA
Rfam family: Eukaryotic small subunit ribosomal RNA
Source: RNAcentral
AGCAGCCGCGGUAAUUCCAGCUCCAAUAGCGUAUAUUAAAGUUGCUGCAGUUAAAAAGCUCGUAGUUGAAUUUCGGGACUAAUAUGUCGGUCGUGCCUCGGUACGUACUGGUAUUUUUGGUUUCUCCCUUCUGACGAACCUUGAUGUCAUUAAUUUGGUGUCUUGGGAAAUCAGGACUGUUACUUCGAAAAAAUUAGAGUGUUUAAAGCAGGCUCACGCUUGAAUACAUUAGCAUGGAAUAAUGAAAUAGGACGUUUGAUUCUAUUUUGUUGGUUUCUAGGAUUGACGUAAUGAUUAAUAGGGAUAGUUGGGGGCAUUAGUAUUCAGUUGUCAGAGGUGAAAUUCUUGGAUUUAUUGAAGACUAACUACUGCGAAAGCAUUUGCCAAGGAUGUUUUCAUUAAUCAAGAACGAAAGUUAGGGGAUCGAAGACGAUCAGAUACCGUCGUAGUCUUAACCAUAAACUAUGCCGACUAGGGAUCGGAUGAUGUUAAUUUUUAAUGACUCAUUCGGCGCCUUACG